Molecule: unclassified non-coding RNA, 2203 nt
Filed under: Hevea brasiliensis (rubber tree)
Lineage: Eukaryota; Viridiplantae; Streptophyta; Magnoliopsida; Malpighiales; Euphorbiaceae
Source: RNAcentral
AAUGGCAAAAUUUUAUGGUAACAUCUGACUCAUUAUCACUAGAAUAAUUCCCAUUAAAAUAUUUCCAACAAAUAAUUUUCAUUCGUGGUUUUCAAACAUAACAGAAUUUUUCAAAUUCAUACUUGGAACAACAAAUCACAAGAUUGCUACUUAUCAAACAAUAAUUAAUUAGUUUCAUACAGAUAUAAGCUACUACAAAAUAACCUGUCCAAUAAAAAGCUUUGCUGGUGCAAAAUCAGCUCUGGACCUUGCGAACUUGAAUGUGAUGAGUAGAUUCUUGACGCCAGAUUGGCUGCGCUCCACUCUGAACAAGAGUGACGUGCUCUCCUUCUACCAAAAGACCCUUGUUCAGUAAUAGUGUGAGGGCUCGGGAGAAGGUCUCCUCUGCAUCACUUGAGAAUUGCAUAUAUAUUGGCAUAACACCCCGAUAAAGUGACAGUCUCUGCUUAAUCCUCUCUUCAUUUGUGAAGGCAAAUAUUGUUGAUGAAGGUCGAUAAUGACUUAGAAGUACAGCCAUUGAUCCUGUUCUUGUGAAGACAAUGAUGGGUGUAUUGAGAGUGUUAGCCAUAAUUGUGGCAUGGAAAGCAAACAUUUCGCCCAUAUGGCCCUUAUAGGCACCAUCAGCAGGAGGUGUUAUGUUGACUGGAAGACUUGACUCUGUCCUCAAUGCUACUGUAUGCAUGACUUUAACAGCUUUCAGCGGAUACUUUCCAUGGGCAGUUUCUCCAGAAAGCAUGACUGCAUCAGCACCUUCACGUACUGCAAUUGCUAUGUCUGAAACUUCAGCCCUUGUUGGUGUAGGAUGAUUAAUCAUGCUUUCCAGCAUGUUUGUUGCUACAAUCACUGGUUUCUGCAUGCUGUGACACCUUCUAAUGAUAUCUUCCUGCAAUAAAGGAACUUCCUCAAUUGGAAGUUCAGCACCAAGGUCUCCACGAGCAACCAUUGCCCCAUCUGAUGCAGAAAUUAUUGAAUGAAGAUUUGGUAUAGAGUCAGCACUUUCAAUUUUUACAAUCACAUGAAUGUCAGCAUUGCUUCUUUUGAGAUAAUCUUUCAAUUCAUGGACCACUUUAGCAUCCUUCACAAAGGAGACAGCAUAGAAAUCAACUUGGUUGUCCACCCCAAAUUUGAUAUCUUCCCAGUCUUUAUCUGUAAUUGAAGGAAGAUUUGCACUUUUUCCACGCACAUUUAAAUGCCGCCUGGAUUUUAGUUCUCCACCAUCAACUACUACACAUUUAACCAAAUCCUUUGUCUUUGACUUCACAGCUAAUGACAUCAUUCCACCAUCCACCAAUAGUAUGUCCCCAACCUCAACAUCAUUCACAAAGUCAUCAUAAUUUACACUAACAGUGUCCUCUGUGCUGACUCCUCUUCUGAUAGUGAAAUUAAAUUCCUGUCCCUCCUUCAGCAUAAUUGGUUGAGGUACAUCCCCACUUCUAACCUCCGGACCCUUGGUGUCUAGCAUUAUAGAAAUAACCUUGUCAUCAGAUUGAGCAUUAAAUUCUUUAACCAGAUCGAUAGUUUUCUGGUGGGAUGCAUGAUCUCCAUGUGACAUAUUUAGGCGAGCCACGUUCAUUCCAACUUCUGCUAGUUUCCAUAUCAUUUCACGUGAGCUUGUGGAAGGACCAAUUGUACAAACUAUUUUUGUUUUUCUUUGAGCAUAUGAAUUUUUGUUUUCACGUCCCAGAUUCUGGCUGCUAGUCAAAAGCUCAACAGGAGAGUUCACCUUGUCAGAAGUAGUAGUCAAAGGACCAUUUACAGAAGCGAGUGACCCUUUCUGAGGAUUCUGCUCGGUAACCGCCAUGGAUCUAACAGAAAAAACUCGCUUUUGAAAUUGAGAGAAACAUCUGGUUCGAGUAAUUGUGGACUCCAAAAGAGAAACAUCGCUCAGGUUCCUCGAUGAGGAUAAGACGCGAGGAUCCUUGGUGGACAUUCUCGGAGAGAUAUGGUUAAUAGUCGCCAUUUGUAUAAGCUCUGUAUCUGUGUUCUGCUGCGGUUUUCGUUAUGGAGAGUAACAGUGAAACAGAGGCGCAGAGCGAAACAAAAAACUCUUCUCUAGAGAGACAGAGAAGUGAUUCGUUUUGAAUGAUUUAUCAUGUGGUUUUUAUUUGAGAGAGAGAGAGUCUAUUUUGCUUGUUAGGACAGUUGACUGCUCUGCUCUGCGCUGCUUGAGUUUGAGUUUGAUUUUCUGAGAAAAGAAAACGAC